GACGAACGCUGGCGGCGUGCUUAACACAUGCAAGUCGAACGAAAAUACCAAGCUUGCUUGGUUGAUUAGUGGCGAACGGGCGAGUAACACGUGAGUAACCUGCCCCUUACUUUUCUGGAUAACUGCUCGAAAGGGUAGCUAAUACGGGAUAUUAUGCCAAGUCUGCAUGGGUUGGUUUGGACAGGUUGUUUUUCUGGUAAGGGAUGGGCUGACGUCGUAUCAGCUAGUUGGUGGGGUAAUGGCCUACCAAGGCUACGACUGGUAGCGGGCCUGAGAGGAGGGUCAGCCACACUGGAACGGAGACGCGGUACAGACUACAAUGGGAGGGAGCAGAGGGGAAUAUAGGACAGUGGGAGCGAGCCUGAUCCAGUGCUACCGCGUCGGUGGAGAAGGCAUUCGGGUUGUAAAGCCCUCCUCUUGCGAAAGAAAAGAAGGCGGUUCAUAUUUGGCUGUGUUGACGGUACCUAGAGAAUAAGCACCGGCUAACUACGUG
RNAcentral lists this ribosomal RNA (493 nucleotides) under uncultured bacterium. RNAcentral describes it as "partial 16S ribosomal RNA". It matches the Rfam family "Bacterial small subunit ribosomal RNA", at positions 28 to 507 of the family's 1533-position model. The record is from RNAcentral.